RNAcentral lists this ribosomal RNA (254 nucleotides) under uncultured bacterium. RNAcentral describes it as "partial 16S ribosomal RNA". It matches the Rfam family "Bacterial small subunit ribosomal RNA", at positions 524 to 776 of the family's 1533-position model. The record is from RNAcentral.
UACGGGGGGGGGCAAGCGUUGUUCGGAAUUACUGGGCGUAAAGGGUGCGUAGGCGGUCCGCUAAGUUAGAUGUGAAAACUCUGGGCUCAACCCAGAGCCUGCAUCUAAUACUGACGGGCUAGAGUUCUGGAGGGGGUAGCGGAAUUCCUGGUGUAGCGGUGAAAUGCGUAGAUAUCGGGAGGAACACCUGUGGCGAAAGCGGCUCUCUGGACCACAACUGACGCUGAGGCGCGAAAGCUAGGGGAGCAAACAGG